Molecule: ribosomal RNA, 2906 nt
Filed under: Salmonella enterica subsp. enterica serovar Weltevreden
Lineage: Bacteria; Pseudomonadati; Pseudomonadota; Gammaproteobacteria; Enterobacterales; Enterobacteriaceae
Description: bacterial LSU rRNA
Rfam family: Bacterial large subunit ribosomal RNA
Source: RNAcentral
UUAAGCGACUAAGCGUACACGGUGGAUGCCCUGGCAGUCAGAGGCGAUGAAGGGCGUGCUAAUCUGCGAUAAGCGCCGGUAAGGUGAUAUGAACCGUUAUAACCGGCGAUACCCGAAUGGGGAAACCCAGUGUGAUUCGUCACACUAUCAUUAACUGAAUCCAUAGGUUAAUGAGGCGAACCGGGGGAACUGAAACAUCUAAGUACCCCGAGGAAAAGAAAUCAACCGAGAUUCCCCCAGUAGCGGCGAGCGAACGGGGAGGAGCCCAGAGCCUGAAUCAGCAUGUGUGUUAGUGGAAGCGUCUGGAAAGGCGCGCGAUACAGGGUGACAGCCCCGUACACAAAAGCGCAUGUGCUGUGAGCUCGAUGAGUAGGGCGGGACACGUGGUAUCCUGUCUGAAUAUGGGGGGACCAUCCUCCAAGGCUAAAUACUCCUGACUGACCGAUAGUGAACCAGUACCGUGAGGGAAAGGCGAAAAGAACCCCGGCGAGGGGAGUGAAAAAGAACCUGAAACCGUGUACGUACAAGCAGUGGGAGCNGCUUUGGGGUGGGGUGACUGCGUACCUUUUGUAUAAUGGGUCAGCGACUUAUAUUCUGUAGCAAGGUUAACCGAAUAGGGGAGCCGGAGGGAAACCGAGUCUUAAUUGGGCGUUAAGUUGCAGGGUAUAGACCCGAAACCCGGUGAUCUAGCCAUGGGCAGGUUGAAGGUUGGGUAACACUAACUGGAGGACCGAACCGACUAAUGUUGAAAAAUUAGCGGAUGACCUGUGGCUGGGGGUGAAAGGCCAAUCAAACCGGGAGAUAGCUGGUUCUCCCCGAAAGCUAUUUAGGUAGCGCCUCGUGAAUUCAUCUCCGGGGGUAGAGCACUGUUUCGGCUAGGGGGCCAUCCCGGCUUACCAACCCGAUGCAAACUGCGAAUACCGGAGAAUGUUAUCACGGGAGACACACGGCGGGUGCUAACGUCCGUCGUGAAGAGGGAAACAACCCAGACCGCCAGCUAAGGUCCCAAAGUCAUGGUUAAGUGGGAAACGAUGUGGGAAGGCCCAGACAGCCAGGAUGUUGGCUUAGAAGCAGCCAUCAUUUAAAGAAAGCGUAAUAGCUCACUGGUCGAGUCGGCCUGCGCGGAAGAUGUAACGGGGCUAAACCAUGCACCGAAGCUGCGGCAGCGACGCUUAUGCGUUGUUGGGUAGGGGAGCGUUCUGUAAGCCUGUGAAGGUGGCCUGUGAGGGUUGCUGGAGGUAUCAGAAGUGCGAAUGCUGACAUAAGUAACGAUAAAGCGGGUGAAAAGCCCGCUCGCCGGAAGACCAAGGGUUCCUGUCCAACGUUAAUCGGGGCAGGGUGAGUCGACCCCUAAGGCGAGGCCGAAAGGCGUAGUCGAUGGGAAACGGGUUAAUAUUCCCGUACUUGGUGUUACUGCGAAGGGGGGACGGAGAAGGCUAUGUUGGCCGGGCGACGGUUGUCCCGGUUUAAGCGUGUAGGUGUGUGUUCCAGGUAAAUCCGGUUCACUUUAACACUGAGGCGUGAUGACGAGGCACUACGGUGCUGAAGCAACAAAUGCCCUGCUUCCAGGAAAAGCCUCUAAGCAUCAGGUAACAUCAAAUCGUACCCCAAACCGACACAGGUGGUCAGGUAGAGAAUACCAAGGCGCUUGAGAGAACUCGGGUGAAGGAACUAGGCAAAAUGGUGCCGUAACUUCGGGAGAAGGCACGCUGACACGUAGGUGAAGUGAUUUACUCAUGGAGCUGAAGUCAGUCGAAGAUACCAGCUGGCUGCAACUGUUUAUUAAAAACACAGCACUGUGCAAACACGAAAGUGGACGUAUACGGUGUGACGCCUGCCCGGUGCCGGAAGGUUAAUUGAUGGGGUCAGCGCAAGCGAAGCUCCUGAUCGAAGCCCCGGUAAACGGCGGCCGUAACUAUAACGGUCCUAAGGUAGCGAAAUUCCUUGUCGGGUAAGUUCCGACCUGCACGAAUGGCGUAAUGAUGGCCAGGCUGUCUCCACCCGAGACUCAGUGAAAUUGAACUCGCUGUGAAGAUGCAGUGUACCCGCGGCAAGACGGAAAGACCCCGUGAACCUUUACUAUAGCUUGACACUGAACAUUGAGCCUUGAUGUGUAGGAUAGGUGGGAGGCUUUGAAGCGUGGACGCCAGUCUGCGUGGAGCCGACCUUGAAAUACCACCCUUUAAUGUUUGAUGUUCUAACGUGGACCCGUNNNCCGGGUUGCGGACAGUGUCUGGUGGGUAGUUUGACUGGGGCGGUCUCCUCCUAAAGAGUAACGGAGGAGCACGAAGGUUGGCUAAUCCUGGUCGGACAUCAGGAGGUUAGUGCAAUGGCAUAAGCCAGCUUGACUGCGAGCGUGACGGCGCGAGCAGGUGCGAAAGCAGGUCAUAGUGAUCCGGUGGUUCUGAAUGGAAGGGCCAUCGCUCAACGGAUAAAAGGUACUCCGGGGAUAACAGGCUGAUACCGCCCAAGAGUUCAUAUCGACGGCGGUGUUUGGCACCUCGAUGUCGGCUCAUCACAUCCUGGGGCUGAAGUAGGUCCCAAGGGUAUGGCUGUUCGCCAUUUAAAGUGGUACGCGAGCUGGGUUUAGAACGUCGUGAGACAGUUCGGUCCCUAUCUGCCGUGGGCGCUGGAGAACUGAGGGGGGCUGCUCCUAGUACGAGAGGACCGGAGUGGACGCAUCACUGGUGUUCGGGUUGUCAUGCCAAUGGCACUGCCCGGUAGCUAAAUGCGGAAGAGAUAAGUGCUGAAAGCAUCUAAGCACGAAACUUGCCCCGAGAUGAGUUCUCCCUGAGACUUAGAGUCUCCUGAAGGAACGUUGAAGACGACGACGUUGAUAGGCCGGGUGUGUAAGCGCAGCGAUGCGUUGAGCUAACCGGUACUAAUGAACCGUGAGGCUUAACCUU